UGGGGAAUAUUGCACAAUGGGCGAAAGCCUGAUGCAGCAACGCCGCGUGAGUGAUGAAGGUCUUCGGAUUGUAAAGCUCUGUCUUUUGGGACGAUAAUGACGGUACCAAAGGAGGAAGCCACGGCUAACUACGUGCCAGCAGCCGCGGUAAUACGUAGGUGGCGAGCGUUGUCCGGAUUUACUGGGCGUAAAGGGUGCGUAGGCGGAUGUUUAAGUGAGAUGUGAAAUACCCGGGCUUAACUUGGGUGCUGCAUUUCAAACUGGAUAUCUAGAGUGCAGGAGAGGAGAAUGGAAUUCCUAGUGUAGCGGUGAAAUGCGUAGAGAUUAGGAAGAACGCCAGUGGCGAAGGCGAUUCUCUGGACUGUAACUGACGCUGAGGCACGAAAGCGUGGGUAGCAAACAGGAUUAGAUACCCUGGUAGU
RNAcentral lists this ribosomal RNA (422 nucleotides) under uncultured bacterium. Its description in RNAcentral is "partial 16S ribosomal RNA". It matches the Rfam family "Bacterial small subunit ribosomal RNA", at positions 355 to 794 of the family's 1533-position model. The record is from RNAcentral.